GUCUGCAACUCGACUGCACGAAGCUGGAAUCGCUAGUAAUCGCGGAUCAGCACGCCGCGGUGAAUACGUUCCCGGGCCUUGUACACACCGCCCGUCACACCAUGGAAGUCUGCAAUGCCCGAAGCCGGUGGCCUAACCACUUAUGUGGAAGGAGCCGUCUAAGGCAGGGCAGAUGACUGGGGUGAAGUCGUAACAAGGUAAC
This 202-nucleotide ribosomal RNA is filed under the name uncultured bacterium. RNAcentral's name for it is "partial 16S ribosomal RNA". It matches the Rfam family "Bacterial small subunit ribosomal RNA", at positions 1303 to 1500 of the family's 1533-position model. The record is from RNAcentral.